This is a long non-coding RNA of Mustela erminea (ermine), 813 nucleotides long. RefSeq lists it as uncharacterized. Lineage: Eukaryota; Metazoa; Chordata; Mammalia; Carnivora; Mustelidae. The transcript has 3 exons. The record is from RefSeq and is a predicted model, not a curated record.
AUUAAGUUUACGAGAGAGGUUUUUUACCUGCUUGCAAAUCGUGACUACAAAGACCCUUGGAGAGUCCGGGGGCCGUGAGCUAUCCGUGGAAGCUGGGGGGCCAGAGAGCCACUGUGAAUGAAGGCAGAGGGCUGGGUGCUCAGCAGGCAUGCCUAAAAAUCACCAUUGAACGCCAGAGUUCAGCGGCCCGCACUCAGCCAAGCUUCCUGUCAAAGCCAAAGGAGCCCAGAAAACCAAAAAAAAAAAAAAAAAAAAAAAAAAAGUAUUCACAGCUCUGAGCCUUCCCCACUUCCCAGGCUGAUUUUGUUGGAAAAUAUUCGGAGUUGGAGAGAGGGAAAGAAAGAGAAACGGAGUGCAGCCUGGGUGUUUCGAGAUCCUGUGUCCGCUGUGGGGUUGUUUAACUUCUUGGAGCCGCAUAUCCACACAACUUAGAAGGGCGUCAUGAGGGUAGAUGAGAUAACGCACAGAAAGAACAACCUCGUUUCUUUUCCUCCCUCUCUCCCUCCCUCUCUUCCUUCCUACCUUCAUUGCUGCUCACAGGAGGAGCAUCUCAUCAGAUCUCAUCAGAUCAAGAAGAGAACAAUACAAGAACCAUCUGGAAAGAUGGCGCUGUCUCCCAUCUGAGUUGUAGCGUAUAGAUUUCAACCUGGGCACACGUGUGUCUGUGCAACUUUGCCUGGACAGCUGGGGACUUUUGAUUCCGGUUUUCAGACCUUUCUUCAAGAGUCUACAUUUUGCCUUGACCAGGAUCAAAAAAAUCAUCAAACGUGUAUUAAUUAUCUAUUGCUGCAUAUUAAAUUUCUCCCAAACUUA